RNAcentral lists this long non-coding RNA (5055 nucleotides) under Nicotiana benthamiana. RNAcentral's name for it is "long non-coding RNA (NBEN_LNC017379)". The record is from RNAcentral. Lineage: Eukaryota; Viridiplantae; Streptophyta; Magnoliopsida; Solanales; Solanaceae.
GAAUCCAUAUGUUUUGUUGAAUUGUUGUUUUACGAUCCAGAUUUUCCACCAUCGGAAGUCGUGAUGACGCCUACUAAUUAAAGCCGGGUAAGCCAAUCAUUUAAUCAUUUUUUUAAGCAAUGUCAAAAAUAUAAGGGAAAAUGAGAUAUGCGAUAUAAAAGCGGAAGUCUGAAAAUAUAAAUGACUAAACAAGUACGGAAGUUUAAGUUCAACUCUACCCCGAUCCGGUGUCACUAACUCACGAACAUCUAAUGAGUGCUAAAUACAGUGUCUGAAUAGAAGAACAAAUAUUUGUUCCGGUACGAGGAAAAACAAACUAAAUAACAUAGAAAGGGGUUCCGGCCUGCGGAUGUCGGCAAGGCUACCUCGAAAGUACCUGGACUGAAGUCAGCUCCCGGUCAAUCCUACUGCUGAGGUCGAAAAGCUGCUCCUGGAUCUGUACAAAAAGAUGCACAAAGUGUAGCAUCAUCACAACCAACCACGUGUGCUAGUAAGUGUCUGGCCUAACCCCGACGAAGUAGUGAUGAGGCUAGACAGGACUACCAAUCAACCUGUGCAGAUAUAUAAAUAUACAAGUACACAAAAUAACAACGGAAAAUAAUAAUUAUGACUGGAAAGGGAACAUGCUUCUGGGGGUAACAGAUAAAAUAGAACAGCAGGAAUAAAUAAGGUAAACUACAACUAAUUCCAUCUAGCACAUUAUACGUUUUCGGCGUGCCAAACGAUUCCAUUCCAUGAUAUAUAAGUGAUCGGCGUGCCACACGAUCCCAUUUCUUAAUAUAUAAGUGGUCGGCGUGCCAAAUUAUCCCAUUUCAUAAUAUAUAAGUGGUCGGCAUGCUAUAAGAUUCCAGUUCAUAAUGUAUAAUAGUUUUUCGGCAAGGGAACAAGUAUCAAUUCAACUAUCCCGACAAGGGAGAAUACAAAUAAGCAGUUAAUUUCCGGCAAGGGAGCAACAACAAUAGCUUACACAUCCCGGCAAGGGAAUAAUUACAUCUAUUUCUCUUUCGUUCAUUUCUUACUUUCUAAUCAAGCCAAAAAUUGAACCAACGCUCCAAGGAGUUUACCAAUUAUAUAUCCUUCUCAUACUAUUCAUAUCAUAUAGAAACCAUCAAUUAACAUGGAAGAGUCACCACAGAAUCCCAAAUAAGCACAAAUAAGGACCCACAGUCAUGCUAGACACCGGUGUAUAGAUACUCGUCAUAUGCCUAUACACCUUACUCAACAAUUAGCAAUUAACAAUUUAUACUCUAAUCCUAUUCCCUCAGGCCAAAGUUAGAUCAAAUACUUACCUCGAAUGCUCCACUCAAGCCUCAGUAUAGCCUUACCCCUCGAAUUCGGCUCCAACUCAGUCAAAUUUAUGAAAUAAUGCAAUAUUAAUAGUAGCUAACAAACUAAAUCCAAUGCCUAAAUAUGAAUUUCUAAGCUUUCUUCCCAAAAUUUCAAAAAUCGACCCCGGGCCCGCUUGGUCAAAACCCGAGAUUCGAACCAAUUCCAUGUCACUCAUUCCCCCACGAGCCCGAAUAUACAAUUUAUUUUCACAUUUGACCCCAAAACGAGGUCUAAAUAAAAAAAAUCAAAAAGCCCUAAUUUUACCCAUUUUCUCCAAUUCUUACGAUAAACUAUAUGAUUUAGGUCUAGGAAUUUGAUAAAUGAUGAUAGAAAAUGAAGAAAACGAGUUAGAGAAUACUUACCCAAGAAGCUUUGGUGCUCUAAAAGUUGCUUAGGGGCUGUGGAGAAGAAGAGCUCGGGUGAAAUUUGGAGUGAAGGUAUCUACUGUCACACCCCCUUUUUCACUACACCCUCAAGGGCAUAAAUGAGUUUUUCCACUUAAAGGACAAUCGAAACGGAAUUUUAUUAUUUGGAAUCAGAGUCGCCACUUGAGAGAUUAAUGGUGACCCAAGUUACCGGUUGAAUUCCGAAUCGAGGAAAAUAUGACUCUGUUAACAGUCCGCGAACCAAAAAUCCGAGUAAGGAAUUCUGUUAACCUGGAAGAAGGUGUUAGGCAUUCCUGGGUUCCGUGGUUCUAGCACGGUCGUUCAACUGUCAUAUUUGGAUGUAUCUGAUUUCAAAACAUGCUUUAGCUUAUGUACUUUUAUAAUUUUAAACCGCUUUUAUUAUUAUUUUUUAACAAGAAUUGCAACGUCGUGAAAAUGUGUCUCGUACCACGUCACAUCAAUGCACCCGUGGUUGUUGACAUAUUUCGACUUCGUUGUGAUUUGGAUUUGGGUCACAUAAAUGCGCACCCGAAUUUAGGAAGGUAAAUCAUUAAAAAACGUACCUAAAGAGACUAUCGCGUUAUUAUACUUGGGGAAGGCCGUGAAAUUCACUAAACGGCCCAUCCCGAAGUCUAAAUAUUUUUAGUAUAAACAUUUAUCGAGGGCCCUGCCAUUUAUUUAUUUUGUUUAGCGAGGCUCAUCUCGUUUUAUUAAUAAAAGACAAACUUAAAGCAAUCUAUAAUUUUCUAUUUUAAUUUGUCUUUAAAAAUAAAAGAAAAAGUACUAAUUAAUCAUUGUCUAAAAUUAUCACGAAUUUUGACCCUUAACCAGAUCGGGCCUUGAACAUAACUUAUUUAGAGAAAUCGUUAUACCCAUAUGCAUAAAGACAAAACAGAACAAGCUUGGCCCAGGUCCAAGCGUGAAAGAAAUUAGAAUCGGACCUGGGCCUUCGUAUCAAAGCCUGAAUCCCAGACAUCUUGAGAAUAGGCUGUUGGGCCUUAGUCUUUUAAACUAAAUUUAAUUGCAACAACCAGCAAAUGAUGUUUUCUAUCUAACUUCAAAUAUUAUUCGAACUAACAGCUUUAAUUUCACAAUUACACUUUCCUUUUCUUUAAAUCGAUGCAGUACUUCUUUAACUAGCAAUUAGUGUAAGAAUUAACACUCAGAACUGGUCGACCAUAAUCCAGAUAAUCACAUUACGGUCCAGAUUAGUUUAACAAUCUAAUAAGCUCAUUUUGAAUUAUGGAAAUCAAACAGUGGGUGAUAAUUUGCAAAUUAUCAUAAGCUAUAGCCAAUAUCCACUACACAGCCCAGUUCAAGUUGGAUAUGAGUUUAAACUACACUAUUCUAAUAACAUGAACUAACAAAGAUAAAAACUACUAACUAUGAAACUCACACAUGAAUGCAUCUAAUGGUUUAACAGUCCAAAGCAUCACUUAUACAGUCCAUGCUUACCUAUUGUUCUUAUAAUGCAAAACAAGUGACUAAGCAUCAACUACAUUCACUAACAACUCGAAUUAUAAACAAUAGACAACAUCCAAAUGAGCUCAAAUCUGGUGAGCAAUUUCAAAUUUGACUUCAACUCAAAGUUACAUCGAAGUAAUUCACAGAAGUGUACCUGGAAGUGGAAAACAAUGAAGAAGAAGAGAAGAUCAACAACGAGUAACAAACAACUAGUACCCAGUAGUCAUAAACAGCAACCUAAACACAGUUGAUCUCAGCCCAGAAAUAACCCAAUGAUCCCAAAAGUAUUUUUAAACCAAACGAAACUGAAUAUCAGCUUCUAAACAACACCAAAUGGUCCAGAAAUGAACACAGGAGGUCAAUACUCAAGAACCACAGUUGGCUCAAAUUAGCCAAAUCCAAUACCUAGAAGACUCGAACUGCUUUAAAAUACCAAAUAUCGAACAGAAUAAGGAAAUUCAAAUAGCUUUUAUCCUAAACGAGCUAGAAACUAGAAGUAAAUGAUGGAAUCUAAUGUAACAGUCCUUUUUUUUUUGCUAUAUUUUCUUUUGUUUUUGGUGUUUUCUUUUGAAAAUGCUAAGAUCCGAGGAGAUUUUGAUAUGAAAUUUUGAAUUUUAGAUCUGUUCAGCUUGAAGAUAUUUUGGGAGGAAUUUGAGGGUUGAAAAUUUGUGAAUAAAGUAAAGGUCAUGCCCUCUUGUAGGUACAAAUGAGGCCUAUCAGAUUUUCAGUUUUUCCUUUUAGUCCUUAUUCACUUUCAGCUUUACUCCCCUAUUUAUUAACUUGUUACACAAGUUAGCACCCACAACUUCUUAAAAUUAAAAUUAAGUUCCUAUUCUAGCAUAUUCUAGGGUGUUCUAAUCAGUUACUACAAUAUUUUUAUUGUUAAAAAUGCCUAAACUACCUCUUAUCUAUCUGAAAUUACUCAAACUGUCCCCAUCCACUUCAACUCAAUUAAUAAAUUUCAAUAGCUCUAAGAUUAAAUCCCAAAUGAAAUUAUUCUGAAAAUUACCUUAAUUCACACUACUUGUUAAUUAUCCAUCAAUUAACAACCGACUAAAUCAUUUUUAACCUAAACUAAACUAUACAGUCAAAGAACAAGAAUGGACAUUUAGACUAAAUAAUCCGCGGACAUUAACAGAAUUAAUCACAACUAAGAACAUACUCACAUUAACAAAACUAAACAAAAUAACAACAUCAAUCAGUCAUGAAAGUUAAUCUCAGGAGAAAAGAAAUUACUGAAUUAGGAUGAACAAAUAGCCGACUGAUAACACAAAAAAUUAUAAGUGAAAAAUAAAACAAAGGAGUUCAAAUAAAUGAAUAAGAGGGUAAACUUGUAAGAACAAAAUAAAAAUAAGAAAAACUCACUGGAAAAUUUCAGAUUCAAAAUUCGGCUGAUUCCGAUGAGGUUCGAGGGCCAAUAGUAUUGAAUUCAUCAUGAGGGAAGCGGGGAAGCCCUGUGGUAUUAAUUUGGUAAGAAUUGGAGAAAUUACGAUUUUGGCCGGAAAGUUUAAAAUUAAUAUUCGAACGGUUCCGGCCAUAUUCAAGGGGUGAUUACUAGGUCAUUGGAAAGAGGGAACGAAGGAGAUUCACCGGUGUAAUUUAGGGUGAUUUAGAUGAGGUUGUGUCAUGGCCGGGAAAACUUCGAUCUAAUAUUCAAAGCUUUCGGGUAGGAUUCGAGGGAAGUGGGUGAUGGAUGCGAAUAGAGGAAGAGAAUAGGCGUACAUGAUGUUAAUUUGGGUUAAUUUGGCGACGGGCCGCCGUCGUGGGCAAUUUCUGGCGGCGGUCAAUGAUGGUGUUACCCGGGGAUGUAAAUGGGUGUGUUUGGGACGAUGAAAUGGGGUGAGGAGGUAUAAUCCGACCAUUAAAUACUCUUAAG